Molecule: long non-coding RNA, 410 nt
Filed under: Ananas comosus (pineapple)
Lineage: Eukaryota; Viridiplantae; Streptophyta; Magnoliopsida; Poales; Bromeliaceae
Description: long non-coding RNA (ACOM_LNC035155)
Source: RNAcentral
ACUAUGAACUUAAUUGGUUUGUUUAAUCUGAAUCAAUCCUCUGAAACGGAGUAGAAGUAUUCAAAUCAGAUAAAAUUUUGAUAAAAAAAAUUUUAAACUAUCUACUGCAAGAUUAAUAUCUCUGAUAAAAAGUGUUAGUGUUAUAUUACCAUUUUUUAUAAGAUUUUUAUUUUCAGCCGCUGAUUUUGAACCCUUUCGAUUACUAAGUAAAUGAUUUCCAAAAAUGGCAAAAAUUAUUUUCUAGAUACUUCAAAUACGCUAGAUUAAAUCUAACGGAGUCGAUCGUCGAUUCAGAAGCUCCAUCAUUAAAAAUGGCUUAGGAGCACGGAAGCCUCAGUACUCCUAAUUAAUAGCACAGAAGACCUUCUCUCUCUUUGUCUCUCUCUCUCUAUAUAUAUAUAUAUAUAAAA